AGGAAACAAUUCAUGCAUCUCAAACCCCAACUACUAAGCAUAACAGGAAGUGGUUUGUCACUGCAGAUCAAUCCGUCAUUAGUACUGAGGGUGUGAAGGGCAACAUGCAUCGGAAGCAUCACAGCAGUGGCAACAAUGGAAGCAUUCGUCAAUGAAUGCAGCAAACAUGUGGUUGAUGGCGUUAGUGAACGUCGGUUAAUGUCGGGCGGCAGCCACACUGGGUCAUCAUGCAUGAAGACAGGGAAAUGGAGAGGGACAGGCGAAUGAACUACAGCUGAUGUUUCAUGGCAGACACAACUGCCACAGGAAUCACAGACAUCCAGUCCUGGACAUACAGUGUGUGUAGAUGAGGGAAAUUCGAGCUCUGCAUACAACAUAUCCUGCACCCUUCGAACGCACUACUGAACAACUGUGGGCGGUUCCCUACACAGGCAUGUAAACGCAACACAAAGCAUGUCGUUUUUCCACAUACAGGUUAGUGAAUAACUUAAUGAGACAAGCUAAAUGCUAGUUGAUUUACAAGUUAUGUAUGGUAUUUGUUGUUUGUGCUUUGCAUUGAGGUGCUAAAUGAAACAUGGUCUGCCUUCUCAUUCUCAAUAGAGGGGGAAGUGGAAUUCUAAACCCACAAACGUUAGAGACUUAGAGGAAGCUUUGCAGUAUUUAAAACUCAAGCUCUGGUUAAAAUCAACACAAAAUUGUCAUCAAUGACAGCCUUGUAUUAUUGGAUUUUUAUGUAUUGUGGUGGUAUUGUUCAAAACUGACCCUAAGGACAUUUACACUGGGGAACAAGGGCAAGCUUAUCUAUUAACACCAUGCACGCACACACACCCUUUCUCAACAACCAUCAGUGCAUCAUCUGCCCACACGCACUCUCCCUCAGGCACAUACAAACACAAACAGACCUCUAACACACAUUCUCUCUCCGUCACUCCCAAACACUCCCACUCUUUUCAUGCAGAAGCACUUGAAAGGACACACUAACUCGUCCACUCACACAGCACUGAUGUCACUAAGCUUUAUCUGCACUUUGAAGAGGCCCUGUAUUGGAUUUCUGACCUAAGAAGGAGCGUCUCUUGGUGUUGAGUUCAGUGGCCAUGCGGACGUUGGUGCACAGAUUGAGCAUGAUGAGCAUGGUGGCGAUCAUGAUGAUGCUCUGCCACAGCAGCAGCGUCUCGA
Long non-coding RNA from Pleuronectes platessa (European plaice), 1176 nucleotides. RefSeq lists it as uncharacterized. NCBI's taxonomy places the organism in Eukaryota, Metazoa, Chordata, Actinopteri, Pleuronectiformes, Pleuronectidae. The transcript is spliced from 3 exons. The record is from RefSeq and is a predicted model, not a curated record.